This 497-nucleotide ribosomal RNA is filed under the name uncultured bacterium. RNAcentral describes it as "partial 16S ribosomal RNA". It matches the Rfam family "Bacterial small subunit ribosomal RNA", at positions 28 to 507 of the family's 1533-position model. The record is from RNAcentral.
GAUGAACGCUGGCGGCGUGCCUAAUACAUGCAAGUCGAGCGAACAGACGAGGAGCUUGCUCCUCUGACGUUAGCGGCGGACGGGUGAGUAACACGUGGAUAACCUACCUAUAAGACUGGGAUAACUUCGGGAAACCGGAGCUAAUACCGGAUAAUAUAUUGAACCGCAUGGUUCAAUAGUGAAAGACGGUUUUGCUGUCACUUAUAGAUGGAUCCGCGCCGCAUUAGCUAGUUGGUAAGGUCACGGCUUACCAAGGCAACGAUGCGUAGCCGACCUGAGAGGGUGAUCGGCCACACUGGAACUGAGACACGGUCCAGACUCCUACGGGAGGCAGCAGUAGGGAAUCUUCCGCAAUGGGCGAAAGCCUGACGGAGCAACGCCGCGUGAGUGAUGAAGGUCUUCGGAUCGUAAAACUCUGUUAUUAGGGAAGAACAAAUGUGUAAGUAACUAUGCACGUCUUGACGGUACCUAAUCAGAAAGCCACGGCUAACUACGUG